RNAcentral lists this ribosomal RNA (497 nucleotides) under uncultured bacterium. Its description in RNAcentral is "partial 16S ribosomal RNA". It matches the Rfam family "Bacterial small subunit ribosomal RNA", at positions 28 to 507 of the family's 1533-position model. The record is from RNAcentral.
GAUGAACGCUGGCGGCGUGCCUAAUACAUGCAAGUCGAGCGAACAGAUAAGGAGCUUGCUCCUUUGACGUUAGCGGCGGACGGGUGAGUAACACGUGGGUAACCUAUCUAUAAGACUGGAAUAACUCCGGGAAACCGGGGCUAAUGCCGGAUAACAUGCUGAACCGCAUGGUUCUACAGUGAAAGGCGGCUUUGCUGUCACUUAUAGAUGGACCCGCGCCGUAUUAGCUAGUUGGUGAGGUAACGGCUCACCAAGGCAACGAUACGUAGCCGACCUGAGAGGGUGAUCGGCCACACUGGAACUGAGACACGGUCCAGACUCCUACGGGAGGCAGCAGUAGGGAAUCUUCCGCAAUGGGCGAAAGCCUGACGGAGCAACGCCGCGUGAGUGAUGAAGGUCUUCGGAUCGUAAAACUCUGUUAUUAGGGAAGAACAAAUGCGUAAGUAACUGUGCGCGUCUUGACGGUACCUAAUCAGAAAGCCACGGCUAACUACGUG